AUUCAACUGUCAACUGUCAUUUUAUUCCACGGUCACAGUAUUUAUGCAAGUCCCCAUGCAAGGGGUUUCCUGAAUGACAUUGCAGGGGUUUUACUACAGAGGACUGUUUCCCAGCAUGCCUUGCUGUACAGGAGAGAUAAUUGUGCAAGAAUGUACUGUUAUUCACAUUAUCUCUCCGUACAGCAAAAUAUACAGUUUUACAUAAAAAAACAAAAAACAAAACCAUAACUGAUAUAAUAUUCAGACGAAUGCUACACACUCCAUAUAAAUUGAGCAUAGCAACAGUUAACGAAAUAUUCACCCUAAGUGUCCAGAAGUGGCUAGGUUUGCCACAGAUGGUAUAUAGAGGAUGUGUGCAGAAGGAGCUGUAUUCUCAUACGAUGCUAUAUAGAAAAUGUGAGCAGAAGGAGCUGUAUUAUCAUGUGAUGGUAUAUAUAGAUUGUGUGCAGAAGGAGCUGUAUUAUCCCGUGAUGGUAUAUAGAGAAUGUGUGCCGAAGGAGCUGUAUUAUCACGUGAUGGUAUAUAGAGCAUGUGACGGAACGCUGGCACUCCGACUGAGUACCUCCGCCAAUCGAUGCUCCUAGUGCUCGCUGGGGACUCCAAGCACUCCAACCGACACCAUCAGCACUGCAGACCCCACUUCCAGCGAUGCAACUGCGCCGGGGUCUCUGCUGUCUCCACCCACCCUGGACCCAAGGCCAGGAUCCAGCUUCCAGUGGGUGAACCUCUCUUUCCCCAGAGAGCAGGAACAGGAACAAGCUCUUAGCAGAACUUAGUGAUCAUUCCCUGGGGAGUAUAGUGAUUAUAGCAAUCCCCAGAGUGUAUUUCUCCAAUCCCCCAAACAUGAGCCAAGGCUUAAUGCUGGAACAAGACUGAUUUACUGGCACACAGAACUCACAAUUUAUGCAACACAAAACUCCUCCUCUGUCCAGGCUAGAUAAUUGAGUUCCUACAAUACUCAAAGCUCAAUUAUCUGCUGGCCAGAAAUAAUACAGUUUCAUAAAACACAUCACAGGGACCCCAAAACAU
Molecule: non-coding RNA, 1029 nt
Organism: Pelobates cultripes (western spadefoot toad)
Lineage: Eukaryota; Metazoa; Chordata; Amphibia; Anura; Pelobatidae
Source: the annotation of a GenBank genome assembly